Molecule: ribosomal RNA, 730 nt
Filed under: uncultured bacterium
Lineage: Bacteria
Description: bacterial SSU rRNA
Rfam family: Bacterial small subunit ribosomal RNA
Source: RNAcentral
AACAGGAUUAGAUACCCUGGUAGUCCACGCCGUAAACGAUGUCGACUUGGAGGUUGUGCCCUUGAGGCGUGGCUUCCGGAGCUAACGCGUUAAGUCGGCCGCCUGGGGAGUACGGCCGCAAGGUUAAAACUCAAAUGAAUUGACGGGGGCCCGCACAAGCGGUGGAGCAUGUGGUUUAAUUCGAUGCAACGCGAAGAACCUUACCUACUCUUGACAUCCAGAGAACUUAGCAGAGAUGCUUUGGUGCCUUCGGGAACUCUGAGACAGGUGCUGCAUGGCUGUCGUCAGCUCGUGUUGUGAAAUGUUGGGUUAAGUCCCGCAACGAGCGCAACCCUUAUCCUUUGUUGCCAGCGGUUAGGCCGGGAACUCAAAGGAGACUGCCAGUGAUAAACUGGAGGAAGGUGGGGAUGACGUCAAGUCAUCAUGGCCCUUACGAGUAGGGCUACACACGUGCUACAAUGGCGCAUACAAAGAGAAGCGACCUCGCGAGAGCAAGCGGACCUCAUAAAGUGCGUCGCAGUCCGGAUUGGAGUCUGCAACUCGACUCCAUGAAGUCGGAAUCGCUAGUAAUCGUGGAUCAGAAUGCCACGGUGAAUACGUUCCCGGGCCUUGUACACACCGCCCGUCACACCAUGGGAGUGGGUUGCAAAAGAAGUAGGUAGCUUAACCUUCGGGAGGGCGCUUACCACUUUGUGAUUCAUGACUGGGGUGAAGUCGUAACAAGGUAACC